AUACGGAGGGUGCAAGCGUUACUCGGAAUCACUGGGCGUAAAGCGCGCGCAGGCGGCUUGAUAAGUUGGAUGUGGAAGCCUACGGCUCAACCGUAGAACUGCAUCCAAAACUGUCAGGCUAGAGUGUGGGAGAGGAAGAUGGAAUUAGUUGUGUAGGGGUAAAAUCCGUAGAGAUAACUAGGAAUACCAAAAGCGAAGGCAAUCUUCUGGAACACUACUGACGCUGAGGCGCGAAGGCGUGGGGAGCAAACAGGAUUAGAAACCCCAGUAGUCC
This 274-nucleotide ribosomal RNA is filed under the name uncultured bacterium. RNAcentral describes it as "partial 16S ribosomal RNA". It matches the Rfam family "Bacterial small subunit ribosomal RNA", at positions 523 to 796 of the family's 1533-position model. The record is from RNAcentral.